This 534-nucleotide long non-coding RNA is filed under the name Musa acuminata (dwarf banana). RNAcentral describes it as "long non-coding RNA (MACU_LNC003812)". The record is from RNAcentral. Lineage: Eukaryota; Viridiplantae; Streptophyta; Magnoliopsida; Zingiberales; Musaceae.
GCCAGAUCGACGUCGACGCGCCCUUCUCCGUCGCUUUCAAGGCCGUGGGCAUGAACUGGGCCACGUACAUCGUCGCCUUCGGAGCUCUCAAGGGCAUGACCACCGUGCUCCUCGUCUCCGCCGUCGGCCAGGCCCGGUACCUGACGCACAUCGCCCGCACCCACAUGGUGCCGCCGUGGCUCGCCCACGUGAACAGCAGGACCGGCACGCCCAUCAACGCCACCGUCGUCAUGCUCGUCGCCACCGCCAUCAUCGCCUUCUUCACCGACCUCGGCAUCCUGGCCAACCUCCUCUCCAUCUCCACGCUCUUCAUCUUCAUGCUGGUCGCCGUCGCCCUCAUCGUCCGCCGCUACUACGUGAGCGGCGAGACCUCGGAGGCCAACCGAUCCAAGCUGGUCGUUUUCCUCCUGCUCAUCCUGGGGUCCUCGAUCGCGACGGCGUCCUACUGGGCCGCGAGCGAGAAGGGGUGGGUGGGCUACCUUGUGACCGUCCCGGUGUGGUUCCUGUCGACGGCCGGCUUGUGGUGGUUCGUGC